Non-coding RNA from Peromyscus maniculatus bairdii (prairie deer mouse), 527 nucleotides. Lineage: Eukaryota; Metazoa; Chordata; Mammalia; Rodentia; Cricetidae. The record is from RefSeq and is a predicted model, not a curated record.
GAGAGAGAGAGAGAGAGAUACUUUAAGAUAUUCUCUUUUAUAUACAUGUUUGUCAGGAGAAGGGUGGACUCUAAAACAUAGAAACAUUUUUUCUUUCUUUUUUUUUUAUUUUCUCAAGACAGAGUAUCUCUGUCUAACAGCCCUGUCUGUCCUGGAACUUGCUCUAUAGUCCAGUCCUGGAACUCAGAGAUUUGCCUGCCUCUACUUCUAAGUGCUAUAAUUAGUUUGCUCUAUCACUGACCCAAAACAUUGAAAUUUGGAGCUGUUGCAAAAUCAGAAUGGGUAUCUUGCAAGGCCAUGAGCUCUCCAUCGCAGAGAAUGUCCAAGUUGUAGAUACCUGGGAACAACCUGAAGUGAACGGCAACACCUACACAUCUGCUGUCCCUGUGAUCUAAGAAGGCACUGUUCAGUGGUGAAAAGUUCAUUGCUAUGGAAAGAAUAUGAUCACUCAGCUCUAUUGUCCUUUACCUCUCAGCAGGGAACCUUGGUGAACCAAACAUAAAUAAAAAAGAAUGCUUUUCAAGUAA